GCCCUGGUAGUGUAGCGGUCCAUCAUGGAACCCUGUCACGGUUCCGACCCGGGUUCAAAUCCCGGCCAGGGCG
This 73-nucleotide transfer RNA is filed under the name Candidatus Woesearchaeota archaeon. RNAcentral describes it as "tRNA-Asp". It matches the Rfam family "tRNA". Rfam says of the family: Transfer RNA (tRNA) molecules are approximately 80 nucleotides in length. Their secondary structure includes four short double-helical elements and three loops (D, anti-codon, and T loops). The record is from RNAcentral. Lineage: Archaea; Nanobdellati; Candidatus Woesearchaeota.